AUUGCCAGUUACCAGCGGGUUAUGCCGGGGACUCUGGUGAGACUGCCGGGGACAACUCGGAGGAAGGUGGGGGAAUGACGUCAAAUCAUCAUGCCCCUUAUGUCUUGGGCUACACACGUGCUACAAUGGCUGAAACAAAGGGGUGCAACAACGUAAGUUGAAGCGGAUCUCACAAAAACAGUCCCAGUUCGGAUUGUGGGCUGCAACCCGCCCACAUGAAGUCGGAGUUGCUAGUAAUCGCGGAUCAGCAUGCCGCGGUGAAUACGUUCCCGGGCCUU
This 278-nucleotide ribosomal RNA is filed under the name uncultured Lachnospiraceae bacterium. RNAcentral describes it as "partial 16S ribosomal RNA". It matches the Rfam family "Bacterial small subunit ribosomal RNA", at positions 1107 to 1382 of the family's 1533-position model. The record is from RNAcentral. Lineage: Bacteria; Bacillati; Bacillota; Clostridia; Lachnospirales; Lachnospiraceae.